RNAcentral lists this ribosomal RNA (560 nucleotides) under uncultured bacterium. RNAcentral's name for it is "bacterial SSU rRNA". It matches the Rfam family "Bacterial small subunit ribosomal RNA", at positions 338 to 916 of the family's 1533-position model. The record is from RNAcentral.
CCUACGGGAGGCAGCAGUGGGGAAUAUUGGACAAUGGGCGAAAGCCUGAUCCAGCAAUGCCGCGUGAGUGAUGAAGGCCUUCGGGUCGUAAAGCUCUUUUACCAGGGAUGAUAAUGACAGUACCUGGAGAAUAAGCUCCGGCUAACUCCGUGCCAGCAGCCGCGGUAAUACGGAGGGAGCUAGCGUUGUUCGGAAUUACUGGGCGUAAAGAGUACGUAGGCGGUUAUUCAAGUCAGAGGUGAAAGCCCGGGGCUCAACCCCGGAACUGCCUUUGAAACUAGAUAACUAGAGUCUUGGAGAGGUUAGUGGAAUUCCGAGUGUAGAGGUGAAAUUCGUAGAUAUUCGGAAGAACACCAGUGGCGAAGGCGACUAACUGGACAAGUACUGACGCUGAGGUACGAAAGCGUGGGGAGCAAACAGGAUUAGAUACCCUGGUAGUCCACGCCGUAAACGAUGAUAACUAGUUGUUCGGUCACUUGGUGACUGAGUGACGCAGCUAACGCAUUAAGUUAUCCGCCUGGGGAGUACGGUCGCAAGAUUAAAACUUAAUGAAUUGACGG